CCUACGGGAGGCAGCAGUGAGGAAUAUUGGUCAAUGGGCGGAAGCCUGAACCAGCCAAGUAGCGUGCAGGAUGACGGCCCUACGGGUUGUAAACUGCUUUUAUACGGGAAUAACGCGCCUUACGUGUAGGGCUUUGCAUGUACCGUAUGAAUAAGGACCGGCGAAUUCCGUGCAAGAUGCCGCGGUAAUACGGAAGGUCCGGGCGUUAUCCGGGUUUAUUGGGUAUAAAGGGAGCGUAGGCGGCAUGUCAAGCGUGCUGUGAACUGGCCGGGCUCAACCCGGGCCUUGCCGCGCGAACUGGCGUGCUUGAGUCCGCGGAAAGUAGGCGGAAUUCGUGGUGUAGCGGUGAACUGCUUAGA
This 359-nucleotide ribosomal RNA is filed under the name uncultured bacterium. RNAcentral's name for it is "partial 16S ribosomal RNA". It matches the Rfam family "Bacterial small subunit ribosomal RNA", at positions 338 to 694 of the family's 1533-position model. The record is from RNAcentral.